RNAcentral lists this long non-coding RNA (2155 nucleotides) under Homo sapiens (human). RNAcentral's name for it is "COL6A2 divergent transcript (COL6A2-DT)". The record is from RNAcentral. Lineage: Eukaryota; Metazoa; Chordata; Mammalia; Primates; Hominidae.
AGGCCUCCCGCGAGAGGCCCCGGGUCAGGAGCUCCUGCAGAAACUGCCGCUCCUGGGGCCUGAGGGUGGGGAGCCGGGAGGGCAGGGACAGCAGAGCCUGGGCGCGGAGGUUGGGGCAGAGCCUGGGCAUGCGGCGAGCCACCCCUGCCACCCCUUUCCCGCUGGAAACCACAGAUGGCAAUGACAGCAGUAGUCCCCUGGCAGCCACACACCCCUCUCCAAGAACCCCAGCGUGCCACCUGCCAGAGCCUGCAGCUCCCACACCCCUCUCAUGCCUCCAGCACAGCCCUGCCACCACUUGCAGAGGAAGCUGAGACCAGAGCACUGAAGUAACCUGCCCAAGACUGCACAGCUUGCUGGCAGAGGAGCAGAGCCUGCGGCACGGCCUCUGUGUUACACUGUGGGCCCUGAGGAUGAGGACUGGCCUGGAGUCCCUUUGGGUCUGCAGAGCAAUGCCUGGCACAGAGCAGGCCCUGACUGGGGCUGCAGAGUCACUAAGUCCCUGCAUGGGGGACCAACUGAUGCAGGCUCUGAGGUCCCAGGAUUCUGUGGAGAUUCACAGGGGACCUAGGACCCUCGGAGCUGCCCUCUGAAUUCAAGCAGUGGUGCCUCCUGUGCUUGUCAGGCAGGAUGAUCUGUGGGGCCUGUGGGCUCUGACCUCACUCUGCAGCAGCAAAGCCCAGAGGCCUCACUUUUUCAUGAACCAGCACAGGCUCUCCUGAGAGCCCUGGAGGGAAGGCUCCGGCUAUACUGCCUCCUGGUGUGAGGAGGCUUCUCUCUUGUCUGUCCCACUAGGGCGGGGCUGACGUUCUACCCUUGCCGGUGGGCUCUGGUCUGCUUCCCCUCAUCAUGCCCUUCUCAACAUUCUCAUUUUCAGACUGAAGUUGGGUGAUUGCUCCUUUUCUCAGAGUGCUUGGGUGCAGCAGGCUGCGGAGGGGCACUGAGGCAGCCCAGCCUCAACCAGGGUUCCCAGGACCUGAGGCCCCAGGCUGGACCCCAGCAGGCUGCAGGCUGCCCUGCGGACACCACACCUCAACACCACAAAGGGCCCUGCUGAGGUUGGCAGUCAGUGCUCAGAGCACCUCCAGGCACGGUUCCUAACGAGCAAGCUGAUGCCAAGGUCACAUGACCAUGAGUUUUUGGCUGCGUUGGGUCCUGUUUAUGGAGAGAUGGUGGGAGGGGAGCAGCAUGGGUGGGUGGUGGUUCACGCUUAGGGGACUAACUGGGAGCUACAGUAAGACACAUGCGUACCAUUAAGAAGAGACUUUCUCUGUCGGAACUGUGGGUGCUUGUAGGCCCGGCCUGGAGGAGGAGGAAGCCGUGCUGUCCUUUUCUGCCCAAGUGUUCUCAGGCUGAGGCAGGCCUUAAGUGGCUCCGUGUGGAAAAGCUCUCUGUGGCUUUCUCACACUCUGGACACCACGUGGACCACUCAGGGCAGCAGGGGCGUUACUCUCGGGCUUGCAGCCUUUCAUGGACAUUUGAGAAGAUGCCUCUGUAGUCAGACUUUCCUCUGCUUACUCAUGGAGCCGACAGACAGAACUAAUGUUCUCCCCAGCCGCAGCUGAUCUCGACUCAGAAAAAAACGAAAAAUGGCAAGACCUGCCACUAAUGGGCAAUUGCACAUGAGUCAGUUUGUGUCACGGGUGUGUGUUCAGAGCUGGUGGUAGAUCCUCCGGCUUUUAUUUUUUAAGCCAGAGCCACCGCAUUAUUCUCAAUAAUCUCACCCAGGCUCUCGGGCUGCCAAGCACGUGUAUUUUUGUCUUUUACUUUCACAAUAGCACAGGAGUACUGGAGAAUGUGGCGUGGACCAUAGUUUACAUUUUCAGUGGAAACCAGGACCAGAGGCUGUGUGCUCGGGGCCCAGAUGGGGUGAGGACACCAGGUGGUAGGAAGUCGGGGGACAAAGGCUGUGGGCAAGAGCCUCAUCGAUCCUGCACCAGGAGGAGCCAGGGGAGGCUGCCCUGUCCCACAGAGAGGAGACCGAGGCUCCCGGAGGAGGACAAGUGGCAGGAAAGAAAACCGCGGUCUUUUCUCUCCCAGUCAGGGGGGUGGUGUGUUUCCCCUCCACCAUCUGGGAGGUUGUCUAUACUACGUGGGAUUUGAUUACAAAUAUUUCAAAAUAUUUAUGCCUGAAUAAAACCCUCCUCUUAACCAA